AUUGAACGCUGGCGGCAUGCCUUACACAUGCAAGUCGAACGGUAACAGGUCUUCGGAUGCUGACGAGUGGCGAACGGGUGAGUAAUACAUCGGAACGUGCCCGAUCGUGGGGGAUAACGGAGCGAAAGCUUUGCUAAUACCGCAUACGAUCUACGGGUGAAAGCAGGGGACCGCAAGGCCUUGCGCGGACGGAGCGGCCGAUGGCAGAUUAGGUAGUUGGUGGGAUAAAAGCUUACCAAGCCGACGAUCUGUAGCUGGUCUGAGAGGACGACCAGCCACACUGGGACUGAGACACGGCCCAGACUCCUACGGGAGGCAGCAGUGGGGAAUUUUGGACAAUGGGCGAAAGCCUGAUCCAGCCAUGCCGCGUGCAGGAUGAAGGCCUUCGGGUUGUAAACUGCUUUUGUACGGAACGAAAAGACUCUUUCUAAUAAAGAGGGUCCAUGACGGUACCGUAAGAAUAAGCACCGGCUAACUACGUGCCAGCCGCCGCCGUAA
RNAcentral lists this ribosomal RNA (498 nucleotides) under uncultured bacterium. RNAcentral describes it as "partial 16S ribosomal RNA". It matches the Rfam family "Bacterial small subunit ribosomal RNA", at positions 30 to 523 of the family's 1533-position model. The record is from RNAcentral.